RNAcentral lists this ribosomal RNA (2894 nucleotides) under Dechloromonas sp. RNAcentral describes it as "23S ribosomal RNA". It matches the Rfam family "Bacterial large subunit ribosomal RNA". The record is from RNAcentral. Lineage: Bacteria; Pseudomonadati; Pseudomonadota; Betaproteobacteria; Rhodocyclales; Azonexaceae.
GUUAUAGGAUCAAGCGACUAAGUGCAUGUGGUGGAUGCCUUGGCGAUCACAGGCGAUGAAGGACGUGCAAGCCUGCGAAAAGCGGGGGAGCUGGCAAUGAAGCUUUGAUCCCCGAUAUCCGAAUGGGGAAACCCGGCCCGCAAGGGUCAUCUUUACCUGAAUACAUAGGGUAUUGAAGCGAACCCGGCGAACUGAAACAUCUAAGUAGCCGGAGGAAAAGAAAUCAACCGAGAUUCCCCAAGUAGUGGCGAGCGAACGGGGAAGAGCCUGCUAGUGAUAGCAGCAUUGUUAGCAGAACGGAAUGGAAAGUCCGGCCGUAGCGGGUGAUAGCCCCGUAUGCGAAAACAGCGCUGUGGUACUNGAGUUAGCGACAAGUAGGGCGGGGCACGUGAAACCUUGUCUGAACAUGGGNGGCCCAUCCUCCAAGGCUAAAUACUCGUGAUCGACCGAUAGUGAACUAGUACCGUGAGGGAAAGGCGAAAAGAACCCCGGGAGGGGAGUGAAAUAGAUCCUGAAACCGCAUGCAUACAAACAGUGGGAGCCGACUUGUUCGGUGACUGCGUACCUUUUGUAUAAUGGGUCAGCGACUUACGUUGUGUUGCGAGCUUAACCGAAUAGGGAGGCGUAGCGAAAGCGAGUCCGAACAGGGCGUUGAGUAGCACGGCGUGAACCGAAACCGGAUGAUCUAUCCAUGGCCAGGAUGAAGGUGCCGUAACAGGUACUGGAGGUCCGAACCCACUAACGUUGAAAAGUUAGGGGAUGAGCUGUGGAUAGGGGUGAAAGGCUAAACAAAUCCGGAAAUAGCUGGUUCUCCCCGAAAACUAUUUAGGUAGUGCGUCAUGUAUCACUUGCGGGGGUAAAGCACUGUUAUGGCUAGGGGUCAUCGCGAUUUACCAAACCAUGGCAAACUCUGAAUACCGCAAAGUGCGAGCAUGGCAGACAGACAGUGGGUGCUAACGUCCAUUGUCAAGAGGGAAACAACCCAGACCGCCAGCUAAGGUCCCCAAGACACAGUUAAGUGGGAAACGAAGUGGGAAGGCAUAGACAGCUAGGAGGUUGGCUUAGAAGCAGCCAUCCUUUAAAGAAAGCGUAAUAGCUCACUAGUCGAGUCGUCNNCUGCGCGGAAGAUGUAACGGGGCUCAAACUGUGCACCGAAGCUGCGGAUAUCGAAAGAUAUGGUAGGGGAGCGUUCUGUAGGUCUGUGAAGGUGUCUCGUAAGGGAUGCUGGAGAUAUCAGAAGUGCGAAUGCUGACAUGAGUAGCGAUAAAGCGUGUGAAAAGCACGCUCGCCGAAAGCCCAAGGUUUCCUACGCAACGUUCAUCGGCGUAGGGUGAGUCGGCCCCUAAGGCGAGGCUGAAAAGCGUAGUCGAUGGGAAACAGGUCAAUAUUCCUGUACCUUGUACAAGUGCGAUGUGGGGACGGAGAAGGUUAGGUCAGCCGGGUGUUGGACGUCCCGGUUUAAGCGUGUAGGCGUGCCCCUUAGGCAAAUCCGGGGGCUGAGCUGAGGCGUGAUGACGAGGAACCACGGUUCCGAAGUGAUUGAUACCAGGCUUCCAGGAAAAGCCACUAAGCUUCAGCUUGUAUGAGACCGUACCGCAAACCGACACAGGUGGGCAGGAUGAAAAUUCUAAGGCGCUUGAGAGAACUCAGGAGAAGGAACUCGGCAAAUUGACACCGUAACUUCGGGAGAAGGUGUGCCCCGGUAGCGUGUAAAGACUUGCUCUUGAAGCGCGAUGGGGUUGCAGUGAAAUGGUGGCUGCGACUGUUUAAUAAAAACAUAGCACUCUGCAAACACGAAAGUGGACGUAUAGGGUGUGACGCCUGCCCGGUGCCGGAAGGUUAAGUGAUGGGGUGCAAGCUCUUGAUCGAAGCCCCGGUAAACGGCGGCCGUAACUAUAACGGUCCUAAGGUAGCGAAAUUCCUUGUCGGGUAAGUUCCGACCUGCACGAAUGGCGUAACGAUGGCCACACUGUCUCCUCCUGGGACUCAGCGAAGUUGAAAUGGUUGUGAAGAUGCAAUCUCCCCGCGGCUAGACGGAAAGACCCCAUGAACCUUUACUGUAGCUUUGCAUUGGACUUUGAACCGGUUUGUGUAGGAUAGGUGGGAGACUGUGAAGCCGGGACGCCAGUCCUGGUGGAGUCAACCUUGAAAUACCACCCUGACUUGUUUGAGGUUCUAACCUUGGUCCGUGANNAUCCGGAUCGGGGACCGUGCAUGGUAGGCAGUUUGACUGGGGCGGUCUCCUCCCAAAAGGUAACGGAGGAGUACGAAGGUACGCUUAGGGCGGUCGGACAUCGCCCAUAAAGUGCAAUGGCAAAAGCGUGCUUGACUGCGAGACCCACAAGUCGAGCAGGUACGAAAGUAGGUCAUAGUGAUCCGGUGGUUCUGUAUGGAAGGGCCAUCGCUCAACGGAUAAAAGGUACUCUGGGGAUAACAGGCUAAUUCCUCCCAAGAGUUCAUAUCGACGGGGAGUNUUGGCACCUCGAUGUCGGCUCAUCACAUCCUGGGGCUGUAGUCGGUCCCAAGGGUAUGGCUGUUCGCCAUUUAAAGUGGUACGCGAGCUGGGUUUAAAACGUCGUGAGACAGUUUGGUCCCUAUCUGCCGUGGGCGCUGGAAAUUUGAAGGGNGCUGCUCCUAGUACGAGAGGACCGGAGUGGACGUUCCUCUGGUGUACCGGUUAUGACGCCAGUCGUAUCGCCGGGUAGCUAAGAACGGAAGAGAUAAACGCUGAAAGCAUCUAAGCGUGAAACUCGCCUUAAGAUGAGAUUUCCCGGAGUCUUGAACUCCCUGAAGGGUCGUCGUAGACCACGACGUUGAUAGGUCAGGUGUGGAAGCGCAGCAAUGCGUUAAGCUAACUGAUACUAAUUGCCCGUGCGGCUUGAUCCUAUAACCUU